UGCGGUUAAAAAGCUCGUAGUUGGAUUUCUGUUGAGGUCGGGCGGUGUACACCUCGUGUAUUAUUUGCUUCGGUCUCGGCAUCCUCUUGGGGAACGUACGGACCUUCAUUGGACUGUGCGAGAUUCAAGACUUUUACUUUGAGGAAAUUAGAGUGUUCACGGCGGGCAAGUGCUUUGAAUACAUUAGCAUGGAAUAAUAAUAUAGGACCUUCGUUCUAUUUUGUUGGUUUCUAGAACUUAGGUAAUGAUUAAUAGGGACAAUUGGGGGCAUUCGUAUUAACGCGUCAGAGGUGGAAUUCUUGGAUUGCGUUACGACGAACUACUGCGAAAGCAUUUGCCAAAGAUGUUUUCAUUGAUCAAGAACGAAAGUAUGGGGAUCGAAGACGCUUAGAUACCGUCGUAGUCUAUACCAUAAACUAUGCCAACUAGGGAUUGGACGGGUUAUCCUAUGUGGCUCGUUCAGCACCUUAUGAGAAAUCAAAGUUUUUGGGUUCCGGGGGGAGUAUGGUCGCAAGGCUGAAACUUAAAGGAAUUGACGGAAGGGCACCACCAGGAGUGGAGCCUGCGGCUUAAAUUUGACUCAACACGGGA
This 591-nucleotide ribosomal RNA is filed under the name uncultured eukaryote. RNAcentral describes it as "SSU rRNA". It matches the Rfam family "Eukaryotic small subunit ribosomal RNA", at positions 614 to 1210 of the family's 1831-position model. The record is from RNAcentral.